This 243-nucleotide long non-coding RNA is filed under the name Helianthus annuus (common sunflower). Its description in RNAcentral is "hypothetical non coding rna". The record is from RNAcentral. Lineage: Eukaryota; Viridiplantae; Streptophyta; Magnoliopsida; Asterales; Asteraceae.
CACACAUCAGACAUAUGUGUGCGUGUUUGUGCGACUAGAAGAGGGCAAGGGAAGAACAAACCCUAAACAACACAAAUCAAUCAAAUUGAAAGGGGAUUUGAGGGCUAAAUGAAUGCAUGAACCAAGAAUGUUGAUCCCUUAAGUGUUUCUAACAUCAAGUGUGCGAUUUAACAUGAAUGCUACAUGAUAUGAACUUUUGGAGAUAUCAUAACGUACAAUAAGGAUUGUGAAAGUGAUGUUUAU